This 476-nucleotide ribosomal RNA is filed under the name uncultured bacterium. RNAcentral describes it as "partial 16S ribosomal RNA". It matches the Rfam family "Bacterial small subunit ribosomal RNA", at positions 30 to 507 of the family's 1533-position model. The record is from RNAcentral.
AUUGAACGCUGGCGGCAUGCCUUACACAUGCAAGUCGAACGGUAACAGGUUAAGCUGACGAGUGGCGAACGGGUGAGUAAUGUAUCGGAACGUGCCCAGUCGUGGGGGAUAACUGCUCGAAAGAGCAGCUAAUACCGCAUACGACCUGAGGGUGAAAGCGGGGGAUCGCAAGACCUCGCGCGAUUGGAGCGGCCGAUAUCAGAUUAGGUAGUUGGUGAGGUAAAGGCUCACCAAGCCGACGAUCUGUAGCUGGUCUGAGAGGACGACCAGCCACACUGGGACUGAGACACGGCCCAGACUCCUACGGGAGGCAGCAGUGGGGAAUUUUGGACAAUGGGCGCAAGCCUGAUCCAGCCAUGCCGCGUGCGGGAAGAAGGCCUUCGGGUUGUAAACCGCUUUUGUCAGGGAAGAAAAGGUUCUGGCUAAUACCUGGGACUCAUGACGGUACCUGAAGAAUAAGCACCGGCUACUACGUG